Spirochaetaceae bacterium 4572_7 is the source of this 72-nucleotide non-coding RNA. NCBI's taxonomy places the organism in Bacteria, Pseudomonadati, Spirochaetota, Spirochaetia, Spirochaetales, Spirochaetaceae. The record is from Rfam.
GCCGUCUUAGCUCAGUGGUAGAGCAACGCACUUGUAAUGCGUAGGUCAUCAGUUCAACUCUGAUAGACGGCU